CGAGUCGGACAUCUCUCGACAACGACAGGCUAUUCCCCAGAGGCACGCCGCAGCCUCCUGCUCCACUACUCCCUGCAACGGUUGUAUCUGGCGCUGCUCCACGAUCCCCUAUAACAGCCGUACAAGGCGGAGCUCCACUACGCCCUGUCAUGGCCGUACCCAGCGCUGCCCCACGACGCCCUGUAACGGCCGUGUCAGCGGCAGCUCCAUCGUGCCCCACGAUGUCGAACCCCCAUGAAAGACCCCCCAGCCUGGUAUAUAUGCGGCUGGGAGGAGAGGGGGGGUAAGCAAGAACUUCCAGAGCAUUCUCUUACUUGCUACUAUUAUCUCUCCUUCUCCUCCAAUCUCCUCUGACUUGAUCGUCGGAGGGCCCCCACUACCCCAGUGGUGG
RNAcentral lists this long non-coding RNA (391 nucleotides) under Phoenix dactylifera (date palm). RNAcentral describes it as "long non-coding RNA (PDAC_LNC022508)". The record is from RNAcentral. Lineage: Eukaryota; Viridiplantae; Streptophyta; Magnoliopsida; Arecales; Arecaceae.